GUGCUCACUUCAGCAGCACAUAUACUAAAAUUGGAACGAUACACAGAAGAUUAGCAUGGCCCCUGUGCAAGGAUGAUAAUGCAAAUUCGUGAAGCAUUCCAUAUUUUU
RNAcentral lists this small nuclear RNA (108 nucleotides) under Cervus elaphus hippelaphus. The record is from RNAcentral. Lineage: Eukaryota; Metazoa; Chordata; Mammalia; Artiodactyla; Cervidae.